This 3455-nucleotide long non-coding RNA is filed under the name Zostera marina. Its description in RNAcentral is "long non-coding RNA (ZMAR_LNC001042)". The record is from RNAcentral. Lineage: Eukaryota; Viridiplantae; Streptophyta; Magnoliopsida; Alismatales; Zosteraceae.
AUUUUCCCAAAUCCUCCUAUUUCAUUUUCUAUUCCCUCCUAUUUCCCCAAAACCUCCUAUCCCCCCAUAAUCGUAAACCCCUGCUCCCCCGUUCUCCCCCAAAUCCAUCUUGUCCGGCCUCCGGACUCCGCGAAUCUCUUCUCCACUUCUUUCUACGUUGCUACUGGUUGGAAAUCUCUACUCAACUUCUACCUACGUUGUUGUCGAUCCUCCAAGGUUCGAUUGUUUUAUUCUCAAAUCCUCAGAGCUUAUUAUUAUUAAAAACUUAAAGUCUACCUAUUUUUGAUCUUGCUUUUCCGACAAAUCUAUCGACGACGUCUUUUUUUUUUUUUAUCUCUGAAUUUGGGGGAGGGGGAGGAGUGAUGAUGAGCUGCAGACUUGUAGUAGAGGAGAAUGGGAGAAAUAAUACUUCUAGAUUCUGGAAUGGGAGAAUGGGAGAAAUAAUUACCAUCCUGAAUGUGUUCAUAGUCAUACUGGAAGUUUAGAGGAGACAAUGUGAUUGUACUGGUCAGAUCAAAUAUAACAGUUCCCUUGAACGCUACAUCACUUCUCCUCAUUCUAAAUUUCAGGAAAUGGUAUUUUCUUGAAGCUAAGAAUAAAAAUAAAACAUGGUCGGAACACAACACAGAAUUCCAGUAACCCCAAAGCGUGGUAUCACUAUGGCCAGGAUUAGGGUCUAAAGGAUUAAGGUGCCUGAUAGAUUACAACCUAAUAUGUUUAUAAUUUACAAAUAGGAAUUUUUAGUCCUAUCAAUGCCCUGACCCAGCCAUCUUACCCAUGAAUAUGAGGUUGAAGAUUCAUCAUUAAGAGGAAGGAAACCUUCCAGGAAUUGCAUCAAUAUUUGAAUUUGAAUGUUAGCUUGUUAUAAUUUGAAGAUAAUAUUUGAAUUUACUUGUAGUAAGGACUUUAACCAUAUCUUAGAAAAUUCUGAAAUGAAUGAGGUCUGAAGACCCUCUUUGUGAGUAUAUAAAUAUAUCAGCUCUUUGUAGAGUAUUAGAUAUAUAGAUGAUCCUGGUUUUCUUUCUUCAAUUCUUUCCCGAAUGAAGUUAUAGUCAAGAGUCAUGUGCUUCAUCUUGCUGUGGAAGGUUGAAUUGGGAAAAAAUUGUGUAGCCCUCCCGGCCAAGGUUGUCAUACCAAAUUGUUGAUGGUUGCCCUCCAUACUUGAAAGAUUAUUCAAUCAUCAAGUAGAUUCACGAGUGCUGACUUAGUUACUUGUUGUCUUAGUCAAGGUUUGAAAUAAGUCGUUAAAUUACUUUUAAAUAUAAAUGUUAAUUUAUUGUUAGUGUUUAACAUGUGAGCUACUGGGUUUAGUAUGUGGUAGUCAGAUUCGGUUUUUGUUUUCUUCAAUCAAAACUAUUUUGAUUUUUCUUGUUUAGUUUUAACUUUUUUCUUCUUCCGGUAAUCUCUCUGAUGAGGUGCAUCGUAAUAUCACAUGGUGUCUAGAUAAUCACGAUUUUAUAUUAUUUAGAAAUGUUUAGUUAGAGUUAGUUAUUUUUGUAUAAGUUUUUUUGAAUACUUAUUUUAAUAGUUUUUUCAUUUAAAUAUUGAUUUUUAAAUAUUUAAAUACUUAUUUUUGGAUCAUUCAUUUUUGCAUUUGAUAAAAUCUAAAUUCUUUGCUUUCAAAAAAAAAUCUGAAUUCUUAAACAUCGAUCAACUUAUUAAUUAUGUUUUUAUUUUAUAAAAUAGAUGUUUUAUAUAAAUCAUUUACUGGUUUACUAGUAUUUUAUUACAUAUAUGAUAUAUCUGAUCACAAAUAUAUCUGAUUACUCCAGUCCGGCCACUCCAGUUCGGCAACUUCCAGUUCGGCAACUUCCAGUCCUUUGGUAACACUCUAGUCCGGCAACUUCGAGGUAAGAGUCUUUUGGUACUUUUGGGUAUUUUCGAUCCCUAAAAUUUAUAAACUCUUAGUUUCUAUCGACUAUCAUAUGAUUCACAUCGUGUUUAAUUUUAUAGUUUUAUUGUUUUAAGUUUUUAUAAUAAAAGUUUUACUGUUUUAAGUGUUUAAUUAUAAAUAUCGACUAUCAUAAGUUUUACUCUUUUUUUUGCUGAUUUAUUCUGUUUCACAUUAGGCUAUAGUGGUGCAUCAAUUUCAAUUUUGUAUGUUUAUUAAUCAUUGUCUUAUUUCAACCUUAUCCUACUUUUGUAGUUCUAUACUUUUAUUAUCCGUUCUGUUUUCAUGAUUUGAUGUUAAUAAAUAUUCUAAAUAAAUGUUUAUUUAGAACUCUCUGUUAUAUUAUGUUAGAUUUUAUAUUAUUUAGAAAUGUUUAGUUAGAGUUAGUUAUUUUUGUAUAAGUUUUUUGAAUACUUAUUUUAAUACCUUUUUCAUUUAAAUAUUGAUUUUUAAGAGGUAUCUUUUAAUUUGUAUGUUAGGAGAUAGACUAAAAUGACUGAUCAAAUAGAAGGGCUUGACAAAUCAUGGUUGUUUGAAAGUUCAACCUCGAUGAAAUUUCAAAGUGGAUUGAAAAGUUUUUUAGAUUUUGCUGAAAUCUAUUCAAACCACAAGAUGGAGCCUGGAUUAAAACUACCAUGUCCUUGUUCAAAGUGUCACAAUGGCAAAUAUUAUAAUCGUAAGACCAUUAGUGAGCAUGUCAUAUUCUUUAGUUUUGACAAUGCAUAUAGGUAUAAUACAUGGUAUAGCAUGGAGAAUUAAUUCCAGGUUCGAGAGCACAUAAUUAAAAAAGCAUUGAAACGCAAGAGACGUGAAAUAGCAAUUUCUACUGCACCUCCUAUGAUAGUAGAAAAUGAGAUGACCCUUUUAGUAAAUGAAGAAAUGGUUGAUCCAACUAAUUAUCCAGUCGCUAAUCUGAUUGAUGAAGCAAUGACUAAUAUUGUCAUAGACGAUCUAAUUAUUUCUCCAAUCAAUCAUCCGGAUAAUUUGAACAAUGAUCCCACAAAUACUCCGAUCGAUGGUCCGAUCAAUGAUCCAAUAAUGGCUUCUAUGAAUGAUCUCGCAAACACUCUGAUCAAUAAUCCGAUAGCUACUCCGAUCAUUGAUAUGAUAGAUUCUCCGAUCAUUGAUCUGAUAGAUUCUCCGAUCAAUGAUCCGAUAGCUACUCCGAUCAUUGAUCCGAUAGAUACUCCGAUCAAUGCUCCGAUAGAUACUCCGAUCAAUGAUCCAAUAAAUACUCCGAUUGAUGAUCCAAAAUUCAACCGCCGGUUAAGAGAUGCUAAUGAACAAUUAUAUCUUGGUUGUACAAAAUACACCAAAUUAUCUGCUAUUCUCCAUUUAUACCAUCUAAAAUGCUUGAAUGGGGUUUCUAACAAAUUCUUUGAAAUGUUGUUGGAAUUCUUUCGAGAUGUUAUUCCUUCGGGUGAUACUUCAAUUCCUAAAACAAUGCAUGAAGCAAAAUCAUACCUUAGAGAUCUUGGAUUGAACUACGUGAAGAUCGAUGCAUGUCCAAAUAAUUGAAUUCUUUAUCGAAAAGAAUUUGAAAAUUCAGAAACUUGUAAACGAU